Molecule: ribosomal RNA, 253 nt
Filed under: uncultured bacterium
Lineage: Bacteria
Description: partial 16S ribosomal RNA
Rfam family: Bacterial small subunit ribosomal RNA
Source: RNAcentral
UACAGAGGUCCCAAGCGUUGUUCGGAUUCACUGGGCGUAAAGGGUGCGUAGGCGGUCGGGUAAGUCUGGCGUGAAAUCUCCAAGCCUAACUUGGAAACUGCGUUGGAUACUAUCCGGCUCGAGGAAUGGAGGGGAGACUGGAAUACUUGGUGUAGCAGUGAAAUGCGUAGAUAUCAAGUGGAACACCAGUGGCGAAGGCGAGUCUCUGGACAUUACCUGACGCUGAGGCACGAAAGCCAGGGGAGCAAACGGG